This is an RNA transcript of Chenopodium quinoa (quinoa), 1372 nucleotides long. It is a transcript of the gene named nucleolin-like, with no coding region annotated. The record is from RefSeq and is a predicted model, not a curated record. NCBI's taxonomy places the organism in Eukaryota, Viridiplantae, Streptophyta, Magnoliopsida, Caryophyllales, Amaranthaceae. The transcript has 3 exons.
UCGUAGUAGAAGAUCAAACCCCUCUCAAAAUUAUCAAAAAACCCUCAACCCUAACUUCCACGCACGCGUAUCACACGUGAGUUUCAGAAACACACAAAAGAUCCUUAAUCACCAACCCACAACCGUCCGAUCUUCUUACACGUCAUCAAUCCCACUUUCAUCUUUUUUCAACGGCUGAGAUCACACUUACCCAAGAGUUGCUACUGGUUCGAACCUCCCCUGUUUCUCCCUUUCUCUCUCUCUCUCUUCACUCCCCUGCUUUCCCCUUUUACCCCCAAAAAUAUUUUUCAAGAAAAAAAAGGAAAAUUCCCCAAAAAAUCUCUGCAAUUGUAUCCAUGAAGAUGAUGAUGGAGGAGGAGAGAGAAAUUGAGGCGGCGAAGAAAGAGGUCGCAGCCGCCAUUAACGGCCAGAAAAAGGAGGAAGUUGAAGAAGUUGAAGAAGAAGAGGUUGACGGCGAGGAAGAAGAAGACGGUGGUGACGGUUCUGAAGAAGAUGAUGACGAUGACGAUGAUGAAGGUGAUGAGGAUGCAGUGCAGGAAGGUAUACCGUCUUCUGAUACUCCCGCAGUUCAGUCGGUAGAUGAUGAAGAUGAUGAUGAUGAUGAUGAUGAUGCUGAUGACGAUGAUGACGACGACGACGACGAUGAUGACGGUGAUGACGAUGACGAGGAGCCUGAUACCGGGUAUCUUGUUCGCCCUGUUGCUCCUGCCGAAGAUGAGGUGGAUGCCUCUGACUUUGAGCCUGAAGAGAAUGGUGAUGAUGAAGAUACCGAAGAAGAUACUGAUGAUGAGGAGGAGGAUGAUCAUGAGGAUGGGAAAGUUGAGGCCCCACCAAAGCGCAAAAGGUCAGGUGAAGAGGAUGAUUCUGGUGAUGAUGAUGGAGAUGAUGAUGAAAGACCACCCAAACGGUAGUGAUGAGGACCGUGGGGUUUGGCUUCUGUUACUCUCUGGAAAAAUGCCGAUGGAGGCUUGACCCAUCGGCAUAGAGCGACGAUUGGUGAAAGAAAAGUAUUGCAAAAGCAAACGCUGAGAAUGUCGGGCCAAGGUGAAUGGACUGGUUAUUUGCUGGAAAGUCGCAUCUCUAUCGAGCCCAUUCCAACACAGUACAACUGGACAUUAUUCAUGAUAGUGCAGAUUUAACAUAACUAUACCUGUUUAUUGGGUAUUUGGGUGCGGUUGGGUUAGGGUCGGUGCGGGUUGAUAAUGGCUCAUAUCUUAUUGGGCCAAAGUGAUCCAGAUUAACGUGGGCUGUGGAUUGGUAUUCGAUAGGCCAACAAUCGAUCAAGGAAAAGAAUAGAAGCCAAAAUUUGUUGUAUGUGAAUGUGAAAUUAUACAUUUUAAAGUUUUCUUUUAGUUUAAUUUUCCAAUAAUUA